This is a long non-coding RNA of Symphalangus syndactylus (siamang), 786 nucleotides long. RefSeq lists it as uncharacterized. The record is from RefSeq and is a predicted model, not a curated record. NCBI's taxonomy places the organism in Eukaryota, Metazoa, Chordata, Mammalia, Primates, Hylobatidae.
AACAUCCAUAGGACAAAGUGGUGAAUAAAACGAACAAACCCAUAAUCCCAGGCCUCAUAGAGUCCAUGGUCUAGUGGGUAGGGAGACAUGAAUGAAUAAAAAACCCUGAUGAUUUAAUCAGAAUUGUGAUGAGCGCAAUGAGGGAGAAUUUGUAAAGUAAGGCCCACCCAGAUCAGAAGGCUCCAGAAAGCUUCAGCAAAGAAGGAAUGUAGACUGUGGUCCGGUGCCUGCCACACAAAGCUACUAGAGGAUGUGCUCCAUCAAAAUGAGAGAGUAAACCAAGAAAGUGGAAAACAGAGAAUCCAGGAAACAGGGGAUGCAACAGAAGAAAGAGGUGGUCGAUUAUAUGAUGUUUAAGCUGAAACAUCAAGAUAAAACUAAAAGAGUUGAAGGUGGCUGCCUCUGGGACAAGGGAUCAGCACCAGAGGGAGAUGACCUCAGCAAAGGACAUCGAACCUGUGGGAGCACCUGUGAGGCCAGAAGUCCUCUGCCCUCUACCCUCACCCUCCCCAGCUAUCACACUGCGGUGGCAGACAGGGCCCUGUGAGCGGCAGGUGCACCUGUUUUUAAGAAGCAACGGAUGGGAUUAUAGUUCCGUGGAACACAUUUUGGGAAACACUGGCCAAGUAUCUCAAGCACCUGAGGGCUUGGCCAUCCCUAGCACCUGUCUGCAAUAUGCUUGGCAAGAACACACAUCUGUGAGCUUCUUUGCUCCCCAAACCCCCACCUAGCUAGUGGUUUAUGGUUUUUGCAAAAAGGUGUCUGUCUUUCAUUAAUUUUCUUAGA